The sequence is a ribosomal RNA, 2826 nucleotides long. It matches the Rfam family "Bacterial large subunit ribosomal RNA". The record is from Rfam.
AAUCAAGCGCGAGAAGGGCGUUUGGUGGAUGCCUUGGCAGUAAGAGGCGAUGAAGGACGUGAUAAUCUGCGAUAAGCUAGGGGGAGCCGAUAAUAGGCUUUGAUCCCUGGAUUUCCGAAUGGGGCAACCCACCUGACAGACCAUUAUAAAUAGCUUCGGCCAUUUAUAGUGAUCUGAAACAGGUACUUUUAACCUGAAUACAUAGGGUUUUAAGAGCAAACCCGGGGAACUGAAACAUCUAAGUACCCGGAGGAAAGGACAGCAAUAGCUACUCCCCUAGUAGCGGCGAGCGAACGGGGACCAGCCGAGCCAUGAGAGUGACUGGAACGACCUGGAAAGGUCGGCCGCAGCGGGUGACAGCCCCGUACAGGAAGCUCGAUUGGACGUAUUAAGUAGGGCGGAACACGUGAAAUUCUGUCUGAAGAUCGGAGGACCACCUUCGAAGGCUAAGUACUCCUUACUGACCGAUAGCGAACCAGUACCGUGAGGGAAAGGUGAAAAGCACCCCGACGAGGGGAGUGAAACAGUACCUGAAACCGAACGCCUACAAUCAGUUGGAGGCCCCUUGAGGGCUGACAGCGUACCUUUUGUAUAAUGGGUCAUCGACUUGGUCUCACAUGCAAGCUUAAGCCGUUAGGUGUAGGCGUAGCGAAAGCGAGUCUUAAUAGGGCGUUGAGUUUGUGGGAUCAGACCCGAAACCGAGUGAUCUAGGCAUGGCCAGGUUGAAGAUACGGUAACACGUAUUGGAGGACCGAACCCACUGACGUUGAAAAGUCACGGGAUGAGCUGUGCCUAGGGGUGAAAGGCCAAUCAAACUCGGAGAUAGCUGGUUCUCCGCGAAAUCUAUUUAGGUAGAGCGUCACGUCUUACCCCGGGGGGUAGAGCACUGGAUGGGUAAUGGGGCCCCACAGGCUUACUGAUCCUAACCAAACUCCGAAUACCCGGGAGUACAAUCGUGGCAGACACACGGCGGAUGCUAACGUCCGUCGUGGAGAGGGAAACAACCCUGACCUACGACUAAGGCCCCUAAUUCAUGGCUAAGUGGGAAAGCAGGUGGGACGACCAAAACAACCAGGAGGUUGGCUUAGAAGCAGCCAUCCUUUAAAGAUAGCGUAACAGCUCACUGGUCUAAAUAAGUUAUCCUGCGGCGAAGAUGUAACGGGGCUCAAGCCAUGAGCCGAAGUCUAGGAUGCCGUAAGGCAUGGUAGCGGAGCGUAGUGUGAAAUAGUCUCUUUCCUCCUUAGCGGCCUCGGCCGCGUUGGAGGAGCGAGGCUUUCUGUGAAGCGGGCGCGUGAGCGAUCCCGUGGAGAGAUCACUAGUGAGAAUGAUGACAUGAGUAGCGACAAACAGGGUGAGAGACCCUGUCGCCGAAAAUCCAAGGGUUCCUGCUUAAAGCUAAUCUGAGCAGGGUAAGCCGACCCCUAAGGCGAGGCCGAAAGGCGUAGUCGAUGGGAACCAGGUUAAUAUUCCUGGGCCAGGAGGAUGUGACGGAUCUCGAAGGUAGUUCACCCUUAUCGGAUUGGGUGGGCUGCUUAGGGGUCCCUGGAAAUAGCCCUCCAUUAGAUCGUACCCUAAACCGACACAGGUGGAUAGGUAGAGUAUACCAAGGCGCUUGAGAGAACGAUGUUGAAGGAACUCGGCAAAAUACCUCCGUAAGUUCGCGAGAAGGAGGCCCAGUUCUAAGGCAACUUGGAGCUGGGGGCACAAACUAGGGGGUGGCGACUGUUUAUUAAAAACACAGGGCUCUGCGAAGUCGCAAGACGACGUAUAGGGUCUGACGCCUGCCCGGUGCUUGAAGGUUAAAAGGAGGAGUGAGAGCUCCGAAUUGAAGCCCAAGUAAACGGCGGCCGUAACUAUAACGGUCCUAAGGUAGCGAAAUUCCUUGUCGGGUAAGUUCCGACCUGCACGAAUGGCGUAACGACUUCCCCACUGUCUCCAACAUCGACUCAGCGAAAUUGAAUUGCCUGUCAAGAUGCAGGCUUCCCGCGGUUAGACGGAAAGACCCCGUGCACCUUUACUACAGCUUCACACUGGCAUCAGGCCAUGCAUGUGCAGGAUAGGUGGUGGGCUUUGAAGCAGGGACGCUAGUUCCUGUGGAGCCUCCCUUGAGAUACCACCCUUGCAUUGCUUGAUGUCUAACCGCGGUCCGUUACCCGGAUCCGGGACCCUGUGUGGCGGGUAGUUUGACUGGGGCGGUCGCCUCCUAAAGAGUAACGGAGGCGCGCGAAGGUUGGCUCAGAGCGGUCGGAAAUCGCUCGUUGAGUGCAAUGGCAGAAGCCAGCCUGACUGCGAGACUGACAAGUCGAGCAGAGUCGAAAGACGGCCAUAGUGAUCCGGUGGUCCCGCGUGGAAGGGCCAUCGCUCAACGGAUAAAAGGUACGCCGGGGAUAACAGGCUGAUGGUGCCCAAGAGUCCAUAUCGACGGCACCGUUUGGCACCUCGAUGUCGGCUCAUCUCAUCCUGGGGCUGGAGCAGGUCCCAAGGGUACGGCUGUUCGCCGUUUAAAGAGGUACGUGAGCUGGGUUUAGAACGUCGUGAGACAGUUCGGUCCCUAUCUGCCGUGGGUGUAGGAGAUUUGAGAAGAGUUGCCCCUAGUACGAGAGGACCGGGGUGAACGAACCACUGGUGGACCAGUUGUCGUGCCAACGGCAGUGCUGGGUAGCUAUGUUCGGACAGGAUAACCGCUGAAGGCAUCUAAGCGGGAAGCCCCCUUCAAAACAAGAUCUCCCUGAGGACCGAGGUAGACCACCUCGUCGAUAGGCCAGAGGUGUAAGUGCGGUAACGCAUUCAGCUGACUGGUACUAAUUGUCCGAUAGGCUUGAUUUG